This 1148-nucleotide long non-coding RNA is filed under the name Oncorhynchus kisutch (coho salmon). RNAcentral describes it as "lncRNA (ENSOKIG00005042209.1)". Lineage: Eukaryota; Metazoa; Chordata; Actinopteri; Salmoniformes; Salmonidae. The record is from RNAcentral.
GUUAUCCUUUACCCCUUUCAAAUUAUACAAAAAAAGAAAGCCCCCUGUGCAAAUGGUCUAUAAUCUCUAGAAGUUGACGUCUGAAGGCCUAUCCGAACUGUCCAUAUGUUGCCAUCUGUCCUGUCACACUUUAGGCCAACAGUAUCCCCUCAUAUGACCGACUCAUAAUCAGAAAUGAUCGGGCACAAUACAUGGGACAAUCAUCUGCAAAGAAAACACACGUUUACAAUAAACAACCUACGGUCACAUUUGCAAUAUGUCCAAAAUAUUAGGCUAUAGGCCUAUUUGUCUUGGUAGAUACAUUUACACAAACAUUUGAAUUGUCUCUCUUGCUGAUAAAAAACAAUCGGUAUUAUCAGUGUAAACCUUUUUUUUCUUCUCAAAACUAGCUAGGCAGUGACAUCUUUGCUUUGUGGCUCAGUAAACAGUGACAGAGUUAGCGUUUAAAUAAAUGCUGUGAUGAAUGCAGUCCUCGGAAGCAGUUUGCUGGAUGGAGUCUUCCAAGAUCUCGUCGCUUUUCAAUGUCCAGCGGCAUCAAACCAAUAUCCAGAGGUUUCUUCCCAGUACACACAGGAGGGCUGAUGCAGUCUGAGCCAAUUCCAGAGAAAGAGAAGAUGGAGAAAGAAACAAGGAAUGAGAAAGAGAGAGAGAGAAAUGCAGACCACUGAGUAUAGAAGAAGCCUGUAGACAAUGUCUUACUUGCCCACUAGGUAAUGACCCGUCAGUGGCACCAGCAAGGUAUGUGGCAAAUGUUAAACAAGACAUUCACAUCCAUCUUACCUAAUCCUCCUACACAAAGAUCUUUGUUUGAACCAUACAGUCAUUAGGGUACUAUUUUUAACUUAACAAACUCACCUGAGAUGCCACUCAAUAGGAUUGCAAAUAGGAUUGAUGGGUCCCCUUUGAUUUGUGUGUUACACCUUUGUUCAUGGAUUAUGGGCUUUCUGCAGUAAAGUUAUGCUCAUUAUUGAGAUUGUUUGUUAUUUAUUUAGUUUAGUUUGUUAGCUGCCUGAAAACACCGGUGUUACUGCUGAAAAGCAGCAUUAGUUAAUGGAGGCUGAACAAGGCCAUUAGGUUAUAAGAUUCAUUUUUAGGACCGUCUCACUUGUAAAUGGUUUGUCUUUGAGUGGCUCCACUUCUUUUUUUCC